Molecule: small RNA, 326 nt
Filed under: uncultured fungus
Lineage: Eukaryota; Fungi
Description: eukaryotic LSU rRNA
Rfam family: Eukaryotic large subunit ribosomal RNA
Source: RNAcentral
AAGGAGUCUAACAUAUAUGCGAGUAUUAGGGUGAGUAAAACCCAAAUAAUGCGUAAUGAAAGUAAAGGCUAUCUCUGGUAGCUGAGGUGGGCAUCGUUUAUUUAUUUUUGAUAUAAGCGAGGCACCAUCGACCGAUCGUUCACUUGUGAAAGAUUUGUGUAAGAGCAUAUGGGUUGGGACCCGAAAGAAGGUGAACUAUGCCUGUACAGGGCGAAGCCAGAGGAAACUCUGGUGGAGGCGCGCAGCGGUUCUGACGUGCAAAUCGAUCGUCAAAUAUGGGAAUGGGGGCGAAAGACUAAUCGAACCUUCUAGUAGCUGGUUUCCGC